RNAcentral lists this ribosomal RNA (350 nucleotides) under uncultured bacterium. RNAcentral describes it as "bacterial SSU rRNA". It matches the Rfam family "Bacterial small subunit ribosomal RNA", at positions 355 to 698 of the family's 1533-position model. The record is from RNAcentral.
UGGGGAAUCUUGGACAAUGGGCGAAAGCCUGAUCCAGCAAUGCCGCGUGUGCGAAGAAGGCCUUCGGGUUGUAAAGCACUUUUGUCAGGGAAGAAAUUGCUCAAGUUAAUACCUUGAGUCGUUGACGGUACCUGAAGAAUAAGCACCGGCUAACUACGUGCCAGCAGCCGCGGUAAUACGUAGGGUGCAAGCGUUAAUCGGAAUUACUGGGCGUAAAGCGUGCGCAGGCGGUUUGCUAAGACAGUUGUGAAAUCCCCGGGCUCAACCUGGGAACUGCAAUUGUGACUGGUAGACUAGAGUUUGGCAGAGGGGGUGGAAUUCCUGGUGUAGCAGUGAAAUGCGUAGAUAUC